Molecule: non-coding RNA, 1753 nt
Organism: Anolis sagrei ordinatus
Lineage: Eukaryota; Metazoa; Chordata; Lepidosauria; Squamata; Anolidae
Source: RefSeq, a predicted model, not a curated record
GAGAAUAUUUUAACUGUACAUUUACACCCAGCGUCUGGCUUCAAAGACGUGACUGCUUUUAAUCUCGAAUUAGACAAACCACAGAGCCUGGGAUGAAAUCCGGGGCCUUGGCCUUCCUGGAGGAGAGUCACGGAAGGGCUUCCCUGUCGAGGGCCAGGAAGGCACACAAACACACAGAGAGAGGCGCGCCUCCAAUGGCGUUGGCUUUCGAAGAGGGGAUUUGUGGUGCUUUUGGGGUUGUUUCUCCUCCUCUUUUCUAAAUGGGGUUAAUGCAAUAUUAAUCUGUUGUGGCUGUUUGUCAGAGUGCGGAGGGGUUUUUCUUCUUCUCCAGGAACCAAUCGAUGGGAUGAGGCUGAGGGAUGAUGGAAGGAGGAAGGAAAGGCGGAAGAGAAACACAGACGCGCACAACUUCUCCUUCGCUGGUUUGAGCUUUUUCUCCUCCAAAAGGCUCUCAAGACUUCGAUUCCUCCUGAGUGCCAGUCCUGAGAAUAUUCCCUCUUCCAAGUCUUUGGUUGGUUAUAAGGAUGGACAAGCAAGGAGGCGAGGGAGGCCUCAUCCACACUGAGUGACCAUUGAAUGCACACAGUAUUGAAGAAAGUCACUUCUCUAUGCAGAUGACUACAGAGGAAACCCUGGAAGCAGUUUGAGACCCGGAUGGGUCGGUUGGAGUCAAGUUUUGGGACUUCCAGACCAUCCUCUUCGUGGGAAGCCAGGCAUUUUGUUCACAGGAAUUUAAAUUAAUCCAAGGGUGGCAUAGACUGCACCUGUUUGAUGUGCUUCCCUUGGAUGCUGUGACCCGCUUUGAGUGCUGCCAGACCAAUAGUUGAAAGGAAGAGAGCUUGGAGAACAGUAGGCUGGCCCUCAUUCAUUCAGAGGGAGAUUGCUCCAGAGCAACGUAUUUCACUGAAGGAAAAAGAAUAUCACAUGCGACCAGCCAUGGCUUUUAUAUCUGGGUGUUCAAUGGUGAUACAACCGGGUUUAAGGUGCAGUGAACCAUUCCAAGUGCCAUUUUAUACUACAGCCCAAAUGGGAGUAAUUGCUACUUGCUCUUCAGAUUUUUUUUUUCAGUGUCAGGAGUGACUUGAGAAACUGCAAGUCACUGCCAUUCUGUGGUAGGCUUUUCUCAUGUCCCUGCAUGAGAAGCUGGAGCUAACAGAUAGGAGCUCACCCCGCUCCCUGGAUUCGAACCACCGACCUUUUGAUCAGCAGUCCUGCUGGCACAAGGGUUUAACCCGUUGCGCCACCGAGUGCUCCACUUUUCAGAUGGCAUAUGUAUAGAUUAGGCAACUGAUCUCUGAGUAGUGACAAUACAUAACCAUUACUUGCUCAGAAUGUGAAGGAACCAAUAGGCUAAGCUGUCCCUCAUAAUUAAUAUAAUUCACAUGAUGCCAGAAUUUUGUAUAAUGCCAGGGAAUAUUCCAAAUGGAGAGCUUGUGGUGCAUCAAGGCAAACUUAGAGGAAGUUGCAGAUAUUUAAUUUUUGUAACUGUGGGUUUCUUCUCCCAUGAAGGCAGGAAGCGAAAGGAUUGUACCAGUUUUCAGAUUCUGUGGCAUUUUCAUUUGUCAUUGUGCAGACAACCAAUAGCACAAUGUAAAUCAUUUGGGGCUGUUGAUCAUCUGUAUUCAGCUGACGCUGCACCAAUUAUCAGUAAAGGGUGACUAGAUGCUUGGUGAUGCAAGAAGGACAAAGUGGUAUCAAAUUCUUACUUUAUAUAACCAAGUAAUGUAACCAAUAAAUGUACAUUGGUCAUCUA